UUAAUGGAAAUGUUGUGCCUAUGAUAUCUUUAGCUUUACUCUAGAGUCUUAUGCCAUCUCCCAGCCCACUUCUAAACAGGUUCACGUCUCACUCUCAACUCCAGCGCCACUCAGUUCUAUUCUCAGUUCCUACUACCUUCAAAUUGUGUAUCGACCAACCCUCCUUGGACGACCCUUGUAGCACUGCUCAUUUCACGUGUCAAACACAAUGGCCCCACAAGGAGCGCCCCCACUCGGUCCGGCCCAUCUCUAUCUCAAUUGAAAUGCUUAAGAGGUUGAGGAACGGAUAUCCCCAGCACCAGUGGAUAGGGCUAAUUAAUUGAUGGACGAUGUCCUUGCUGGCCUCCGUCUCCAACUCAAGCUUGGAUCCCUGCCCUUUCUGGGGUUUUGUUGCAACAGUUGCAACUGUCAUAAUAUUGACUCAUUGCUGGAUGUAAUUAAUGGUGUUAAGACUCGCACGCCAUUUUAAUGCAAUCCAAUUGACAGGCAGCAUCCGUUUUGCGUUACUGCAUUUCCUCCAGUCCCGCCACCUCCCCCUUCCCCCCUUCAAUCAUUGAAGCCAUCUGGGGGAUAUUGAUUUCAAUUAUAAUGAUGUAACACAAUGGCCAAUGGAACCCCAAAGGCAUGUUAACUAAUUGUUAACCUACCGGUUUGCUGUUGCGAAUAUUAAACACUCGUAGUACCCGGUAGGAGCGGCGUACUAGAGGAAACUCCA
Molecule: long non-coding RNA, 715 nt
Organism: Drosophila pseudoobscura
Lineage: Eukaryota; Metazoa; Arthropoda; Insecta; Diptera; Drosophilidae
Exons: 2
Source: RefSeq, a predicted model, not a curated record